CAGCUCCUGAGAUGUGCGACAAUCUUACCAAUUUUGAACCUGCAAACUUCUGACAGGGAGACAUAAGAUACAAAGCCGGAUGUCAGGCCGCAACUCGUUGAGAAAAUAGCGGAAGACAAAUGGCCUUGUUCGGUCACCCACCUGGCAUUGCCAGGCGUCAAUAAGUAAGACCGGCAUUUUGGGGCUGU
This 188-nucleotide non-coding RNA is filed under the name Stomatobaculum longum. RNAcentral's name for it is "Lachnospiraceae bacterium ACC2 6S / SsrS RNA". It matches the Rfam family "6S / SsrS RNA". Rfam says of the family: E. coli 6S RNA was the first non coding RNA to be sequenced, but its function was unknown until recently. It consists of 184 nucleotides that fold into an extended hairpin structure with a large single-stranded internal bulge. Lineage: Bacteria; Bacillati; Bacillota; Clostridia; Lachnospirales; Lachnospiraceae. The record is from Rfam by way of RNAcentral.